RNAcentral lists this ribosomal RNA (253 nucleotides) under uncultured bacterium. RNAcentral describes it as "partial 16S ribosomal RNA". It matches the Rfam family "Bacterial small subunit ribosomal RNA", at positions 524 to 776 of the family's 1533-position model. The record is from RNAcentral.
GACAGAGGGGGCAAGCGUUAUCCGGAAUUAUUGGGCGUAAAGCGUCCGUAGGCGGUCUUGCAAGUCUGGGGUUAAAGCCCGGAGCUUAACUCCGGAUCUGCCCUGGAGACUGCCAGUCUAGAGGAAGGUAGGGGUUGCGGGAAGUCCCGGUGUAGCGGUGAAAUGCGUAGAUAUCCGGAAGAACACCAGUGGCGAAAGCGGGCCGCUGGGCCAAUACUGACGCUGAGGUACGAAAGCGAGGGGAGCGAAUGGG